CAUACGGGGUGCAGCAGUGGGGAAUAUUGGACAAUGGGCGAAAGCCUGAUCCAGCCAUGCCGCGUGUGUGAAGAAGGCCUUCGGGUUGUAAAGCACUUUCAGUGGGGAAGAAAGCCUUGGGGCUAAUACCCUCGAGGAAGGACAUCACCCACAGAAGAAGCACCGGCUAACUCCGUGCCAGCAGCCGCGGUAAUACGGAGGGUGCGAGCGUUAAUCGGAAUUACUGGGCGUAAAGCGCGCGUAGGCGGUCUGAUAAGCCGGUUGUGAAAGCCCCGGGCUCAACCUGGGAACGGCAUCCGGAACUGUCAGGCUAGAGUGCAGGAGAGGAAGGUAGAAUUCCCGGUGUAGCGGUGAAAUGCGUAGAGAUCAGGAGGAAUACCAGUGGCGAAGGCGGCCUUCUGGACUGACACUGACGCUGAGGUGCGAAAGCGUGGGUAGCAAACAGGAUUAGAUACCCCAGUAGUC
RNAcentral lists this ribosomal RNA (465 nucleotides) under Vreelandella stevensii. Its description in RNAcentral is "partial 16S ribosomal RNA". It matches the Rfam family "Bacterial small subunit ribosomal RNA", at positions 338 to 795 of the family's 1533-position model. The record is from RNAcentral. Lineage: Bacteria; Pseudomonadati; Pseudomonadota; Gammaproteobacteria; Oceanospirillales; Halomonadaceae.